This 554-nucleotide ribosomal RNA is filed under the name Schwanniomyces yamadae. RNAcentral describes it as "LSU rRNA". It matches the Rfam family "Eukaryotic large subunit ribosomal RNA", at positions 64 to 634 of the family's 3401-position model. The record is from RNAcentral. Lineage: Eukaryota; Fungi; Ascomycota; Pichiomycetes; Serinales; Debaryomycetaceae.
ACCAACAGGGAUUGCCUCAGUAACGGCGAGUGAAGCGGCAAAAGCUCAAAUUUGAAAUCUGGCACCUUCGGUGUCCGAGUUGUAAUUUGAAGAAGGUAACUUUGGAGUUGGCUCUUGUCUAUGUUCCUUGGAACAGGACGUCACAGAGGGUGAGAAUCCCGUGCGAUGAGAUGUCCAAUUCUAUGUAAAGUGCUUUCGAAGAGUCGAGUUGUUUGGGAAUGCAGCUCUAAGUGGGUGGUAAAUUCCAUCUAAAGCUAAAUAUUGGCGAGAGACCGAUAGCGAACAAGUACAGUGAUGGAAAGAUGAAAAGAACUUUGAAAAGAGAGUGAAAAAGUACGUGAAAUUGUUGAAAGGGAAGGGCUUGAGAUCAGACUUGGUAUUUUGCAAGCCUUACCCUCGUGGUGGGGUCCCCUGCAGUUUACUGGGCCAGCAUCGGUUUGGAUGGUGGGAUAAUGACAUUGGAAUGUGGCUCUGCUUCGGUAGAGUGUUAUAGACUUUGUUGAUACCACCUGUCUAGACCGAGGACUGCGUCUUUGACUAGGAUGUUGGCAUAA